Molecule: ribosomal RNA, 253 nt
Filed under: uncultured bacterium
Lineage: Bacteria
Description: partial 16S ribosomal RNA
Rfam family: Bacterial small subunit ribosomal RNA
Source: RNAcentral
UACAGAGGGUGCGAGCGUUAAUCGGAAUUACUGGGCGUAAAGCGCACGUAGGCGGCUUGGUAUGUCGGGUGUGAAAACCCCGGGCUCAACCUGGGAACUGCAUCCGAAACUGUCUUGCUCGAGUAUGGGAGAGGGAAGUGGAAUUUCCGGUGUAGCGGUGAGAUGCGUAGAUAUCGGAAGGAACAUCAGUGGCGAAGGCGGGUUGCUGGGCUGGCACUGACGCUGAUGCGCGAAAGCCAGGGGAGCGAACGGG